AGCUUUCUGAAUCCGUGCUGAGAUUUCGUCAGAAACCAACCCAUUUGGGCUGAUCAGAUAUCUAAGAUAAGUGAAGUG
This 78-nucleotide microRNA precursor is filed under the name Schistosoma bovis. RNAcentral describes it as "mir-3492 microRNA precursor family". It matches the Rfam family "mir-3492 microRNA precursor family". RNAcentral also lists the same sequence under 1 other name. Lineage: Eukaryota; Metazoa; Platyhelminthes; Trematoda; Strigeidida; Schistosomatidae. The record is from Rfam by way of RNAcentral.